AACGAACGCUGGCGGCAGGCCUCAAACAUGCAAGUCGAGCGAGGCCCUUCCUUCGGGAAGGUGUCCUAGCGGCGAACGGGUGAGUAACACGUGGGCAACCUGCCCUCAGCUCUGGGAUAACUCCGGGAAACCGGGGCUAAUACCGGAUACGACCUCUAAGGGCAUCCGAAGAGGUGGAAAGUUUUUCGGCUGAGGAUGGGCCCGCGGCCUAUCAGCUUGUUGGUGGGGUGACGGCCUACCAAGGCGACGACGGGUAGCCGGCCUGAGAGGGUGACCGGCCACACUGGGACUGAGACACGGCCCAGACUCCUACGGGAGGCAGCAGGUGGGGAAUAUUGCGCAAUGGGCGAAAGCCUGACGCAGCGACGCCGCGUGA
Molecule: ribosomal RNA, 376 nt
Filed under: uncultured bacterium
Lineage: Bacteria
Description: bacterial SSU rRNA
Rfam family: Bacterial small subunit ribosomal RNA
Source: RNAcentral